RNAcentral lists this ribosomal RNA (301 nucleotides) under uncultured bacterium. RNAcentral describes it as "partial 16S ribosomal RNA". It matches the Rfam family "Bacterial small subunit ribosomal RNA", at positions 509 to 809 of the family's 1533-position model. The record is from RNAcentral.
CAGCAGCCGCGGUAAUACGAAGGGUGCAAGCGUUACUCGGAAUUACUGGGCGUAAAGCGUGCGUAGGUGGUGGUUUAAGUCCGUUGUGAAAGCCCUGGGCUCAACCUGGGAAUUGCAGUGGAUACUGGGUCACUAGAGUGUGGUAGAGGAUAGUGGAAUUUCCGGUGUAGCAGUGAAAUGCGUAGAGAUCGGAAGGAACAUCUGUGGCGAAGGCGACUAUCUGGGCCAACACUGACACUGAGGCACGAAAGCGUGGGGAGCAAACAGGAUUAGAGACCCGAGUAGUCCCUGUCUCUUAUAA